This 440-nucleotide ribosomal RNA is filed under the name uncultured Caulobacteraceae bacterium. Its description in RNAcentral is "bacterial SSU rRNA". It matches the Rfam family "Bacterial small subunit ribosomal RNA", at positions 338 to 795 of the family's 1533-position model. Lineage: Bacteria; Pseudomonadati; Pseudomonadota; Alphaproteobacteria; Caulobacterales; Caulobacteraceae. The record is from RNAcentral.
CCUACGGGGGGCUGCAGUAGGGAAUCUUGCGCAAUGGGCGAAAGCCUGACGCAGCCAUGCCGCGUGAAUGAUGAAGGUCUUAGGAUUGUAAAAUUCUUUCACCGGGGACGAUAAUGACGGUACCCGGAGAAGAAGCUCCGGCUAACUUCGUGCCAGCAGCCGCGGUAAUACGAAGGGGGCUAGCGUUGCUCGGAAUUACUGGGCGUAAAGGGCGCGUAGGCGGACAGUUUAGUCAGAGGUGAAAGCCCAGGGCUCAACCUUGGAAUAGCCUUUGAUACUGGCUGUCUUGAGUACGGGAGAGGUGUGUGGAACUCCGAGUGUAGAGGUGAAAUUCGUAGAUAUUCGGAAGAACACCAGUGGCGAAGGCGACACACUGGCCCGUUACUGACGCUGAGGCGCGAAAGCGUGGGGAGCAAACAGGAUUAGAUACCCUAGUAGUC